GGUAGCUCAGUUAGUUAGAUCAUGGUGCUGAGAAUGCCAAGGUUGCAAGUUCAAUCCCUGUACGGACAGCUGCA
Non-coding RNA from Podarcis lilfordi (Lilford's wall lizard), 74 nucleotides. NCBI's taxonomy places the organism in Eukaryota, Metazoa, Chordata, Lepidosauria, Squamata, Lacertidae. The record is from the annotation of a GenBank genome assembly.